Molecule: transfer RNA, 72 nt
Filed under: Ictidomys tridecemlineatus (thirteen-lined ground squirrel)
Lineage: Eukaryota; Metazoa; Chordata; Mammalia; Rodentia; Sciuridae
Description: Spermophilus tridecemlineatus (thirteen-lined ground squirrel) tRNA
Rfam family: tRNA
About the family: Transfer RNA (tRNA) molecules are approximately 80 nucleotides in length. Their secondary structure includes four short double-helical elements and three loops (D, anti-codon, and T loops). Further hydrogen bonds mediate the characteristic L-shaped molecular structure. tRNAs have two regions of fundamental functional importance: the anti-codon, which is responsible for specific mRNA codon recognition, and the 3' end, to which the tRNAs corresponding amino acid is attached (by aminoacyl-tRNA synthetases). tRNAs cope with the degeneracy of the genetic code in two manners: having more than one tRNA (with a specific anti-codon) for a particular amino acid; and 'wobble' base-pairing, i.e. permitting non-standard base-pairing at the 3rd anti-codon position.
Source: Rfam by way of RNAcentral
GGGGAUGUAGCUCAGUAGUAGAGCGCUUGCCUAGCUUGCAUAAGUCCCUGGGUUUAAUUCCCAGUAUUGCAA